CUACCGGGGUAUCUAAUCCUGUUUGCUACCCACGCUUUCGAGCAUGAACGUCAGUAUUAUCCCAGGGGGCUGCCUUCGCCAUCGGUAUUCCUCCACAUCUCUACGCAUUUCACUGCUACACGUGGAAUUCUACCCCCCUCUGACAUACUCUAGCUACCCAGUUCAGAACGCAGUUCCCAGGUUGAGCCCGGGGAUUUCACAUCCUGCUUAAGUAACCGUCUGCGCUCGCUUUACGCCCAGUAAUUCCGAUUAACGCUCGCACCCUACGUAUUACCGCGGCUGCUGGCAC
This 289-nucleotide ribosomal RNA is filed under the name uncultured Neisseria sp. RNAcentral's name for it is "partial 16S ribosomal RNA". Lineage: Bacteria; Pseudomonadati; Pseudomonadota; Betaproteobacteria; Neisseriales; Neisseriaceae. The record is from RNAcentral.